Molecule: ribosomal RNA, 1979 nt
Filed under: Vibrio parahaemolyticus
Lineage: Bacteria; Pseudomonadati; Pseudomonadota; Gammaproteobacteria; Vibrionales; Vibrionaceae
Description: bacterial LSU rRNA
Rfam family: Bacterial large subunit ribosomal RNA
Source: RNAcentral
GUUGUAUGGUUAAGUGACUAAGCGUACACGGUGGAUGCCUUGGCAGUCAGAGGCGAUGAAAGACGUAGUAACUUGCGAUAAGCCCAGAUUAGGUAGUAACAACCAUUUGAGUCUGGGAUUUCUGAAUGGGGAAACCCACUUACAUAAGUAAGUAUCGCUGCGUGAAUACAUAGCGCAGCGAGGCGAACCGGGGGAACUGAAACAUCUAAGUACCCCGAGGAAAAGAAAUCAACCGAGAUUCCGAAAGUAGCGGCGAGCGAAAUUGGACUAGCCCUUAAGCUUUACACGCGUUAGAUGAACGGUCUGGAAAGUCCGACGAUACAGGGUGAUAGUCCCGUAGUUGACGACGUGUGUUCAGUGAAAUCGAGUAGGGCGGGACACGUGAUAUCCUGUCUGAAUAUGGGGGGACCAUCCUCCAAGGCUAAAUACUACUGACUGACCGAUAGUGAACCAGUACCGUGAGGGAAAGGCGAAAAGAACCCCUGUGAGGGGAGUGAAAUAGAACCUGAAACCGUGUACGUACAAGCAGUAGGAGCACCUUCGUGGUGUGACUGCGUACCUUUUGUAUAAUGGGUCAGCGACUUAUAUUCAGUGGCAAGGUUAACCAUCUAGGGGAGCCGUAGGGAAACCGAGUCUUAACUGGGCGUUCAGUCUCUGGAUAUAGACCCGAAACCAGGUGAUCUAGCCAUGGGCAGGUUGAAGGUUGAGUAACAUCAACUGGAGGACCGAACCGACUAAUGUUGAAAAAUUAGCGGAUGACUUGUGGCUAGGGGUGAAAGGCCAAUCAAACCUGGAGAUAGCUGGUUCUCCCCGAAAGCUAUUUAGGUAGCGCCUCGGACGAAUACUACUGGGGGUAGAGCACUGUUAAGGCUAGGGGGUCAUCCCGACUUACCAACCCUUUGCAAACUCCGAAUACCAGUAAGUACUAUCCGGGAGACACACGGCGGGUGCUAACGUCCGUCGUGGAGAGGGAAACAACCCAGACCGCCAGCUAAGGUCCCAAAUUACUACUAAGUGGGAAACGAUGUGGGAAGGCUCAGACAGCCAGGAUGUUGGCUUAGAAGCAGCCAUCAUUUAAAGAAAGCGUAAUAGCUCACUGGUCGAGUCGGCCUGCGCGGAAGAUGUAACGGGGCUAAGUAGUAAACCGAAGCUGCGGCAAUAUACUUUUGUAUAUUGGGUAGGGGAGCGUUCUGUAAGCGGUUGAAGGUGUGUGGUAACGCAUGCUGGACGUAUCAGAAGUGCGAAUGCUGACAUGAGUAACGAUAAAGGGGGUGAAAAACCUCCUCGCCGGAAGACCAAGGGUUCCUGUCCAACGUUAAUCGGGGCAGGGUAAGUCGACCCCUAAGGCGAGGCCGAAAGGCGUAGUCGAUGGGAAACGGGUUAAUAUUCCCGUACUUCUUACAAUUGCGAUGGGGGGACGGAGAAGGCUAGGUGGGCCUGGCGACGGUUGUCCAGGUUCAAGUGCGUAGGCUUAAGAGUUAGGUAAAUCCGGCUCUUUUUAAGGCUGAGACACGACGUCGAGCACCUACGGGUGUGAAGUCAUUGAUGCCAUGCUUCCAGGAAAAGCCUCUAAGCUUCAGAUUGUAAGGAAUCGUACCCCAAACCGACACAGGUGGUCGGGUAGAGAAUACCAAGGCGCUUGAGAGAACUCGGGUGAAGGAACUAGGCAAAAUGGUACCGUAACUUCGGGAGAAGGUACGCUCUUGAUGGUGAAGUCCCUUGCGGAUGGAGCUGACGAGAGUCGCAGAUACCAGGUGGCUGCAACUGUUUAUUAAAAACACAGCACUGUGCAAAAUCGUAAGAUGACGUAUACGGUGUGACGCCUGCCCGGUGCCCGGAAGGUUAAUUGAUGGGGUUAGACUUCGGUCGAAGCUCUUGAUCGAAGCCCCGGUAAACGGCGGCCGUAACUAUAACGGUCCUAAGGUAGCGAAAUUCCUUGUCGGGUAAGGUUCCGACCUGCACGAAUGGCGUAAUGAUGG